This is a non-coding RNA of Acanthosepion pharaonis, 108 nucleotides long. The record is from the annotation of a GenBank genome assembly. Lineage: Eukaryota; Metazoa; Mollusca; Cephalopoda; Sepiida; Sepiidae.
UUACGGUCAAAUCACGUUGAAAACACCGGUUCUCGUUCGAUCACCGAAGUUAAGCAUCGUAGAGCCAGGUCAGUACUUAGAUGGGGACCGCUUGGGAACACCUGGUAC